This 4602-nucleotide unclassified non-coding RNA is filed under the name Lingula anatina. RNAcentral describes it as "uncharacterized protein ZK1073.1, transcript variant X3". The record is from RNAcentral. Lineage: Eukaryota; Metazoa; Brachiopoda; Lingulata; Lingulida; Lingulidae.
ACAAUUACCGAAGAUUACCGAGCGUCGCUUCUCUGCCUGCAGGACUGAGUGCUCAAGUUUUGAGGAAACUGCGUCAAGUCAACUAAGUUUGGCAAUUGGAUUUGUUGUGAUUUAAAGAUAAGCAGCGAUGGCAGAAACAACUGGACAGGACCUUAAGCAAGAAGUCGUUGAUACUGAUCUUGGAAGGUUCAAUGUUUAUUUGCAAGGCGACCUCGGCCAUGCUGAAGCCAUUAUUCUCACAGUUCAUGACCUGGGAUGUAACCAUACCAUGUACAAUGACUUUGUGAACCAUCCAAGCAUGAAAGAGUUGACCUCUAGGGUGGUCUGGAUUCAUGUGGAUCUGCCUGGACAGGAGGAAAAUGCACCAGAUCUGCCUGCAGACUACCGUUUCCCAACCAUGGCUGAAAUGGGUGGCUGCUUAGGGGUGGUGCUAGACAAAUUGGGUGUGACAAGGCCUGUCAUGUGCUUUGGGGAAGGAGCUGGUGCCAACAUCUUGGCAAGAUUUGCUAUCUGUCACCCCAUGAAAGUGCAUGGACUAUGUUUGAUUCACUGCACUGGAACCACUGCAGGGAUAAUGGAGACCAUGAAAGAUAAAGUGAUGCAGUGGAAGCUAGAUCAUUUUGGCAUGACCCCCUCUACUGCAGCCUACCUUGUCAUGCACAGAUUUGGAUCGACCUGGCAGCAAGAAGGGAAGAAGUUUGAGGCUGUUGAUAAGCAGAUGGAGCAAAUUGUAGAAGACUUCCGGAAUAAACUUAAGAAGGAGGUGAACCCAAAGAAUCUGACCAAAUUUGUGGAUUCUUUUAUGAAACGUUCGGAACUCUUGCCAGACCUUAAAAACAUAACCUGCUUUGUGUUGCUGGUGACAGGGGAGAAGGCCUCCUUUAAUCAUACAUGCAAAACCCUAGAGGUGAAUUUUAGGAAAAGCAUUGAAAACAAGAAAAAACUGGAGUCACUGGAAGUUGAAGGUGUAGCUAAUGUUAUUGUGGAGAGACCUGAGAAACUCGCAGAGGCCUUCUUAUACUUCAUGCAAGGUGCAGGUUUAGUGUCAGGGAUACCAAUGGUACGCCAUUGAGAGCUAGGCCAAUUCCCAGUGUCACCAUAACAUACAUACAAUGCUAGGAACACUGUAUAGAUAUGUUAUAGGGUUCACAGUAUACAUGAUCUACCACACCUGGACCAGCAGUUGACUUCUAUGUUUCUUAUUGUGCAGACAGGCAAAAUCAUUCUUAUAUUUAAGGGCAUUAGAUCAUGGUGUAUAGAUUUGUUGGUAAUCCAGUUAAGAAAAGAUUUCAUUUUUACUGUCGGCAUUUAUCCACAUUUGAAAACACAUAUAUUUAUUUAAAUUUGUAGAAAUGUAAUGGUUUUGCCAGUCUUUUUCACAUUACAUAUUUUAUAAACAACACUUUUAUAGUAACAUAACUUUUUUAUGCAAAUCGGUUAGCAAUUUUACAAGAAUCAUUUCAUAACAGGAUUCAAACACUUACCUUUAUGCAAAGAAAUCCAUGUUGAUUUUAAAAUACAUACAAUUAAAUCUUUACAGGGAAUUAUUCAGGGUCCUCUGUACGCAUGAUAGAAAGUAAUUCAUAACAUUAUUACACACAUCGUAAUCUCUCUGGUAACUUAUUUCAGUGGAGAAUUGAAUAUUUAAUGACAUUUGUUUUACUCAGUAAGUGCUUGCAGUAAACAUAUAAGAUAAUAUUAGUAACUUGGAUGAUGCUUGGUGUUGUUUAUGUGUGUUCUCAUACCAAUAUCACAGGCAUGGUAUUUGUUUUCCAGUUUAGCUUAAUUGCAUUGGUGUAAAGCUUAGCUUUGAAAUUUACCAAACUUUAAACUUAAUUCUUUUUUAAAAAGUUUGUUUUGCUAAAGCAUACUCAUAUAUAUGCUCUAUUUUGCAAUCAAAAUGAUCAGUCGCAGCACUUUUGUAGGUUCUGAAAGGCAUGAAAGUCGUCACCAGAUUGACUCUGUUUAAAACAGCCUGCUGUAGCAAGCACUAUCCUUUGUUUCUGUAUAAGAAGUGUUAUAUCAUAUAAUCAUAUGUAUCUAUGUUUGUUUGUAGCAUAUGUUUAGAUUGUUUGAAUAUCAUAACCUGAAAAAAUGGUUUAGGUUGGUUCUUGAUGCUUUGAAAUAAUAUAAAUGUACCUCUGCAUCACAAAACAAAAUGGUUUCUCUGUUCCCAUGAAACAGUUUGCUCCACUAAGUGGCUCUGGAUAUACAGCGGAAAGUGUACCACAAACAAAGCGUGGCACUAAAAAGACCAGUGGAAUAAAAGUUUUACUUUAACAUUUAAGUGCUAUUAAUAGGAAAAUAAUUGAAGUGCCAUUCAAAAUUUUAUUUCUUAAAAAGUUUGGGAUGCUGUGGAUAUAGUUUUGCUUUUCAACUUGAGUUAUAUCAAUUUUAACUGAUAUAAAGAUUUUCGAUGAUUUGACUGGCAGUGCAGAUCAAUGCAUUAAAUGCUUUUAUUACGAGGAUAUAUAUGUUUAUAUAAUGGUAUUUUCUUUUUAUUAACCUGAAUUAUUAGUUCUAGUUCUGAAUGGUUUGCUUAUACAAAAUUUGUGUCAGACCUUAAGUAGAAGCAAGUAUUAAUGUCAUUAUGCCUUACCGGUGAAUACUGCCCUCUUCUGCACAUUUUGAGUGGUUUAUACAUUUAGAGUACUUUAAUUACAGUAUGUGUGAGAACCAAAACAGUACAUACACCACCAUUUAUUGGACUUGAAUGACAGUAUUGAACAGACUUUUCCAUUUGUGAAUGAACAUAAUGGUCAAGUACUGGUUCUUAAAGUUUUUGGUUUCAGUACAAUGUAUGCAAAGUCAUGUGCAGAAAAGGGAAUAUGACAUCACUGUAAUUAGUAGAUGUAUAUGUAUUGUUUCUGUACAUAGGAAACCCACUGUGUUUAGUGUAUUUGUGUGAUCUAUGGUAUGGAAUAAAUACAUAUUCUUAGUUCAAACUUUGUAGUUCAUUUGUCAUACUUGGUAACUUUUUAUUUAAAAUAGUACCUUAACUGUUUAUUUUUUUUGAAACAAUACAAGUAACUGGAAAGAUGGUAAACAUAUUGUUUGUUUCGUCUAACUACUGGUCCAUGAAGGCUGCUCUUUUUUAUGUGAAUUUGAUUUGAUAGGCCCAUGCGAACAAGGCUGGGAUGAAUACUUUACUAGAAGUUUUGUGGUAAAAACUGAGUUACAGUUCACGUAAGAAUAAAAGGGAAUGUGCUGAUGAGCACUUGGCAUUUGAAGCAUUACGUUUAUGAAAAUAUGUAUUGAAGUUAACAGCAAUGUGUAAGAAUAGAAUGUAUUAAAGCAUAUGGCAUUUGAAGCAUUCUGUUCAUAUGUACAUGUACUGAAGAUAACACCACCACCAUACUGGUAGAUACAGUAGCUGGGAUUCAAAUGGAAACGGCAAAUUUUUUUAGCAGAUGGAAUUCAUGAAGGAAAAUAAUUCACAGAAUGUUUGUUCAAGAUUCAGGCUAACAUGUGCAGUUUGUGAAUUUGUAGUAUUUUUUGUAGUAGAUAGACUUGUAGUUUUGUGUGAAUUUCUAAAAAUUUAUUUGCAUGUUCAUUUUCUUAUCUUAAAGGAUUGAAAAUGGCAUAUAGUGGGUAGUUAGAGAGCAGUUUUAUGAAGGUCUGAUACACAACCUCAAAAGCAAUUCUCAUCUAAAGCUUGUGCAUCAAUCAUAUACGAGUAUUUGAUACAAAGGGAAAGAUACCUUUCCCAUUUAGCAUCCACCCUUUACUAAUUCUGUACUCCUAAAAAUGUUUUGUGCCGCUGCAUAUACAUUUGUAACACUCUUUGCCAAAUAUCCAUGUUUCUGUGGAAACAAGCAAGAUUAAGCCUCAGAAAUUGAUCAAGAACAGAUGGUAGACAGACGAAAAUUCCCCAAGAUGUAUUCAGCAGUCAAAGUACUUCCUUAAAUCUGAUCAUUUAUAAAAUUUUUGCCUAUUUUGGGGGGAAAUUAAUCCAUUUGCCUCCCCCCCCCCCCUUGCAUAUAAUUCUUUGAGGUUGUGCCUUAGAUCUUUACAAAGUUGGAACCCUUCAGGAAAGGUCAUAGCCUAACUACUAACUGCAUUUUAGCUGGUUCACUGUAACAAUGGUGCAUAAUAGGAUGACAAGGCUUUUACACAUGCACAAUGUAUUAGAUAGUGGGUUUAGCUUUUUUCUCAACAUUUCUUACAUUUGACAAGCAGGAUUCUGAGAAGCCCCAGAGAAACAGGUUUGCAGUCUUGACAUGUGUGACUUCAUUUGGGAUGGGGCAUAAUUUAUGCUACUGACUAAAAAUCUAUAGUGGUUUCCUUUUAUUGAUUAACCAAUCCUUUCUAUUGUAAAACAGUCCAAUUAGUAGGUAGUAGUAGGGGUUGUUGAUGGAAAGGUUUAAUACAUUUUAUUUUAUAUAGAAACCUCAUAGAAAUUUUAACUUUUUUACCAAAUCAUGUUACAAAUGAAAAAUCAACAUGGAAAACUAGUGCUGAAAUGGCAGGUAGUGACUGAAAUGAAACCAACUGAUUAGUCUCCCAUUUCUUGAUUGAGAGUUUGUAAUUUAACAAAUUUUACUUACCUUGCAGGUCCGUAGCCAGCAAUUUCAAAAGGGGGGGUUCUUUUUCUGAAAAAUU